Nothoprocta perdicaria is the source of this 246-nucleotide long non-coding RNA. RefSeq lists it as uncharacterized. The record is from RefSeq and is a predicted model, not a curated record. The transcript is spliced from 2 exons. Lineage: Eukaryota; Metazoa; Chordata; Aves; Tinamiformes; Tinamidae.
CGGGAGCUGCUCCUGCGGCCCGGCGGCGGCAGCGCCGGGUAGAGGCCUCGCCGCCACGGAUGGACGGACAGACGGACGGAGGGAGGCGAGGCGGCCGCGGCGCCCCUGGGCCUCCUGCCGCGCCAAAGAUCCGGCUCUGAUGGAAACUGGUUGUGCGGUGUCUUAUUAGAGCCCCCGUCUGCGGCAGCGCGAGGGGUGCGCGGUUACCGCAGGGAGCAGCGGGGAGCUCGGCAGCCGUCCGGAGCA